Small nuclear RNA from Aplysia californica (California sea hare), 117 nucleotides. RefSeq annotates it as U5 spliceosomal RNA. The transcript has a single exon. Lineage: Eukaryota; Metazoa; Mollusca; Gastropoda; Aplysiida; Aplysiidae. The record is from RefSeq and is a predicted model, not a curated record.
GCACUCUGGUUUCUCUUCACAACGAAUAAAUCUUUCGCUUUUUACUAAAGAUUUCCGUGGAGAGGAGCAAUAUUAUGAGUCUAUAGACAAUUUCUCCAAGCUCUACGUUGUAGGGUU